AACGAACGCUGGCGGCAGGCUUAACACAUGCAAGUCGAACGCCCCGCAAGGGGAGUGGCAGACGGGUGAGUAACGCGUGGGAAUCUACCUAGUUCUACGGAACAACACAGGGAAACUUGUGCUAAUACCGUAUACGCCCUACGGGGGAAAGAUUUAUCGGAAUUAGAUGAGCCCGCGUAAGAUUAGCUAGUUGGUGGGGUAAUGGCCUACCAAGGCGACGAUCUUUAGCUGGUCUGAGAGGAUGAUCAGCCACACUGGGACUGAGACACGGCCCAGACUCCUACGAGAGGCAGCAGUGGGGAAUAUUGGACAAUGGGCGAAAGCCUGAUCCAGCCAUGCCGCGUGAGUGAUGAAGGCCUUAGGGUUGUAAAGCUCUUUCAGUAGGGAAGAUAAUGACGGUACCUACAGAAGAAGCCCCGGCUAACUUCGUGCCAGCCGCCGCCGUAA
This 447-nucleotide ribosomal RNA is filed under the name uncultured bacterium. RNAcentral's name for it is "partial 16S ribosomal RNA". It matches the Rfam family "Bacterial small subunit ribosomal RNA", at positions 29 to 523 of the family's 1533-position model. The record is from RNAcentral.